RNAcentral lists this ribosomal RNA (500 nucleotides) under uncultured bacterium. Its description in RNAcentral is "partial 16S ribosomal RNA". It matches the Rfam family "Bacterial small subunit ribosomal RNA", at positions 32 to 507 of the family's 1533-position model. The record is from RNAcentral.
AAUCAACGCUGGCGGCGUGCCUAACACAUGCAAGUCGAACGCGAAAGCCCCGCAAGGGGUAAGUCGAGUGGCAAACGGGUGAGUAACACGUGGGUGACCUGCCUUCGAGUGGGGGAUAACGUCCCGAAAGGGACGCUAAUACCGCAUGACAUCCUGCUUUUGAAAAAGCGGAGAUCAAAGCUGGGGAUCGCAAGACCUAGCGCUUGAAGAGGGGCCCGCGCCUGAUUAGCUAGUUGGUGAGGUAACGGCUCACCAAGGCGACGAUCAGUAUCCGGCCUGAGAGGGCGGACGGACACACUGGGACUGAGACACGGCCCAGACUCCUACGGGAGGCAGCAGUGGGGAAUUGUUCGCAAUGGGCGCAAGCCUGACGACGCAACGCCGCGUGGAGGACGAAGAUCUUCGGGUCGUAAACUCCUGUCGAGCGGGACGAACGCUUCGCGGAUGAAUAAUCCGCGGAAUUGACGGUACCGCUAAAGGAAGCCCCGGCUAACUCCGUG